RNAcentral lists this ribosomal RNA (402 nucleotides) under uncultured prokaryote. RNAcentral's name for it is "bacterial SSU rRNA". It matches the Rfam family "Bacterial small subunit ribosomal RNA", at positions 355 to 774 of the family's 1533-position model. The record is from RNAcentral.
UGAGGAAUAUUGCGCAAUGGGGGCAACCCUGACGCAGCAACGCCGCGUGAGUGAGGAAGGUUUUCGGAUUGUAAAGCUCUGUCAACAGGGACGAUAAUGACGGUACCUGUGGAGGAAGCCACGGCAAACUACGUGCCAGCAGCCGCGGUAAUACGUAGGUGGCAAGCGUUGUCCGGAAUAACUGGGCGUAAAGCGAAUGUAGACGGCAUAGCAAGCCAAGUGUGAAAUUUAGGGGCUUAACCUCUAAACUGCGUUUGGAACUGCUGAGCUUGAGUGCAGGAGAGGCAAGUGGAAUUCCCAGUGUAGCAGUGAAAUGCGUAGAUAUUGGGAGGAACACCAGUGGCGAAGGCGACUUGCUGGACUGCAACUGACGUUGAGAUGCGAAAGCUAGGGGAGCAAACG